UACGGAGAGAGCAAGCGUUGUUCGGAUUCACUGGGCGUAAAGGGCUCGUAGGCGGCCAGGCAACUCCGUUGUGGAAUCCCCACGUCGAUCGUGGGAAGUGCUUCGGAAAAUACCUGGCUAGAGGAUGACAGGGGUGGGUGGAACUCCCGGUGGAGCGGUGAAAUGCGUAGAGAUCGGGAGGAACGCCGGAGGCGAAAGCGGCCCACUGGGUCAUUUCUGACGCUGAGGAGCGAAAGCUGGGGGAGCAAACGGG
This 253-nucleotide ribosomal RNA is filed under the name uncultured bacterium. Its description in RNAcentral is "partial 16S ribosomal RNA". It matches the Rfam family "Bacterial small subunit ribosomal RNA", at positions 524 to 776 of the family's 1533-position model. The record is from RNAcentral.